UGGGGAAUAUUGGACAAUGGAGGCAACUCUGAUCCAGCAAUUCUGUGUGUGUGAAGAAGGUUUUAGGACUGUAAAACACUUUUAGUAGGGAAGAAAAAAAUGACGGUACCUACAGAAGAAGCAACGGCUAAAUACGUGCCAGCAGCCGCGGUAAUACGUAUGUUGCGAGCGUUAUCCGGAAUUAUUGGGCUUAAAGGGCAUCUAGGCGGUAAGACAAGUUGAAGGUGAAAACCUGUGGCUCAACCAUAGGCUUGCCUACAAAACUGUUGAACUAGAGUACUGGAAAGGUGGGUGGAACUACACGAGUAGAGGUGAAAUUCGUAGAUAUGUGUAGGAAUGCCGAUGAUGAAGAUAACUCACUGGACAGAAACUGACGCUGAAGUGCGAAAGCUAGGGGAGCAAACAGG
This 407-nucleotide ribosomal RNA is filed under the name Verrucomicrobiota bacterium. RNAcentral describes it as "Verrucomicrobia bacterium partial 16S ribosomal RNA". It matches the Rfam family "Bacterial small subunit ribosomal RNA", at positions 355 to 776 of the family's 1533-position model. The record is from RNAcentral. Lineage: Bacteria; Pseudomonadati; Verrucomicrobiota.